This 228-nucleotide ribosomal RNA is filed under the name Triticum aestivum (bread wheat). Its description in RNAcentral is "partial small subunit ribosomal RNA". Lineage: Eukaryota; Viridiplantae; Streptophyta; Magnoliopsida; Poales; Poaceae. The record is from RNAcentral.
AUGCGGCGGGAAGAAGUGGCAUUUAGAAGUGUUGCUGACUUUACAUUUAGGUUUCGGCAUAACAAAGCUUGCACUGUCUUUUCGCACUUAGGCGCACAUCGUGCUGUUGGUAAUGAUUCUACUACGGUGCUGCAAAUUCGCAAGCUGAUCCUAAGUAAUCGUUGUUGUUCAUUGGAUUCCUCCGGAAUUACUUCGUUAGGAUUGAAGAAUUGUUCCAAUUCUUCCUGA